AGGUAAACAAUAAUAAUGUAUUUAUCAUACCGACAUGUGGGCCUCACAUGUCACGGCCACACGUAUUGACUCUUGUACCGUCACCGAGAGGCCAACACCCCGUCACAAUGCAUUGUGGCUAUGAGCCCACACGGCCCAAAUCAUAGGUAGAGCCUCUCACAGCCACUUGGCAACUAGCAGGGCCUCACCUGUCACUGGGUAGUUAAUUUCUUCGCCUAUCGGCACUAGUUAGCAAGCUAGUUUUGCAUGGUUAACUCCUUAUUAAUUUUCUUAUAGGAUUUUGCAAGAAAUAGUUCCAGGUGACAUUCUAUCUCUAACCGACACUCAAACCCUGUCAGCCCAGAAUCCCCUGUCCCCGCUACUCCCAAGGCCCUUGCUUAAAUUUGGCAGUUGAGCUAAAGUCAUGGAGGCGCCAUCUUUCCAGCCCCGGCUGGAAAGGUUGCAUAUAACCCGAACAAGCUAGUCAUGUUAAAUCGCUACGGAAUAUGUUUGUGCUAUAAAAUGACAAAAAUAAUAAUAAUCAUGCCUCUUAGCCAAGAAGACACCAGA
Molecule: non-coding RNA, 549 nt
Organism: Pelobates cultripes (western spadefoot toad)
Lineage: Eukaryota; Metazoa; Chordata; Amphibia; Anura; Pelobatidae
Source: the annotation of a GenBank genome assembly